AGAGGUGGCUUCGCCAGGCUUCAUGACGUCAGAUUCGUGAUGAUAAAUCUUUUUCUUGCGGCAGCCAUUAAAAUCCUCGGUUACCGUUCAAUAAAAUUGACAAAUUUGGCUCUUUUGAUUGUGUUUUACUAUUAAUAACAACAAUCUUCACCUGAUAUAUCACCCAUGAGAAGGCGAACAAUUUGCAUCAAUGAUAUUAAGAGUUGGAAGAGUGACUUUGGUGUGAGGAAAACCACCCGGCCGAGGUUCAAGUCUAAUAGGGGCAAAAGGAUACUUGAACACUGCCCAUAUCUGUCAGUUACAAGGAUCUGCA
This is a long non-coding RNA of Asterias rubens (European starfish), 313 nucleotides long. RefSeq lists it as uncharacterized. Lineage: Eukaryota; Metazoa; Echinodermata; Asteroidea; Forcipulatida; Asteriidae. The transcript is spliced from 3 exons. The record is from RefSeq and is a predicted model, not a curated record.